UGGUAGGAGAGCGUUCUAAGGGCGUUGAAGCAUGAUCGUAAGGACAUGUGGAGCGCUUAGAAGUGAGAAUGCCGGUGUGAGUAGCGAAAGACGGGUGAGAAUCCCGUCCACCGAUUGACUAAGGUUUCCAGAGGAAGGCUCGUCCGCUCUGGGUUAGUCGGGUCCUAAGCUGAGGCCGACAGGCGUAGGCGAUGGAUAACAGGUUGAUAUUCCUGUACCACCUAUAAUCGUUUUAAUCGAUGGGGGGACGCAGUAGGAUAGGCGAAGCGUGCGAUUGGAUUGCACGUCUAAGCAGUAAGGCUGAGUAUUAGGCAAAUCCGGUACUCGUUAAGGCUGAGCUGUGAUGGGGAGAAGACAUUGUGUCUUCGAGUCGUUGAUUUCACACUGCCGAGAAAAGCCUCUAGAUAGAAAAUAGGUGCCCGUACCGCAAACCGACACAGGUAGUCAAGAUGAGAAUUCUAAGGUGAGCGAGCGAACUCUCGUUAAGGAACUCGGCAAAAUGACCCCGUAACUUCGGGAGAAGGGGUGCUCUUUAGGGUUAACGCCCAGAAGAGCCGCAGUGAAUAGGCCCAAGCGACUGUUUAUCAAAAACACAGGUCUCUGCUAAACCGUAAGGUGAUGUAUAGGGGCUGACGCCUGCCCGGUGCUGGAAGGUUAAGAGGAGUGGUUAGCUUCUGCGAAGCUACGAAUCGAAGCCCCAGUAAACGGCGGCCGUAACUAUAACGG
Molecule: ribosomal RNA, 726 nt
Filed under: Staphylococcus aureus
Lineage: Bacteria; Bacillati; Bacillota; Bacilli; Caryophanales; Staphylococcaceae
Description: partial 23S ribosomal RNA
Rfam family: Bacterial large subunit ribosomal RNA
Source: RNAcentral